CCUACGGGGGGCUGCAGUGGGGAAUAUUGCACAAUGGGGGAAACCCUGAUGCAGCGACGCCGCGUGAAGGAAGAAGUAUUUCGGUAUGUAAACUUCUAUCAGCAGGGAAGAAAAUGACGGUACCUGACUAAGAAGCCCCGGCUAACUACGUGCCAGCAGCCGCGGUAAUACGUAGGGGGCAAGCGUUAUCCGGAUUUACUGGGUGUAAAGGGAGCGUAGACGGCAGCGCAAGUCUGGAGUGAAAUGCCGGGGCCCAACCCCGGAACUGCUCUGGAAACUGUGAAGCUGGAGUGCAGGAGAGGUAAGCGGAAUUCCUGGUGUAGCGGUGAAAUGCGUAGAUAGCAGGAGGAACACCGGCGGCGAAGGCGGCUUACUGGACUGUAACUGACGUUGAGGCUCGAAGGCGUGGGGAGCAAACAGGAUUAGAUACCCGAGUAGUC
RNAcentral lists this ribosomal RNA (440 nucleotides) under uncultured bacterium. RNAcentral describes it as "partial 16S ribosomal RNA". It matches the Rfam family "Bacterial small subunit ribosomal RNA", at positions 338 to 795 of the family's 1533-position model. The record is from RNAcentral.